AACGAACGCUGGCGGCAUGCCUAACACAUGCAAGUCGAACGAGACCUUCGGGUCUAGUGGCGCACGGGUGCGUAACGCGUGGGAACCUGCCCUUAGGUUCGGAAUAACUCCCCGAAAGGGGUGCUAAUACCGGAUAAUGUCUUCGGACCAAAGAUUUAUCGCCUUUGGAUGGGCCCGCGUUGGAUUAGCUAGUUGGUAGGGUAAAAGCCUACCAAGGCGACGAUCCAUAGCUGGUCUGAGAGAAUGAUCAGCCACACUGGGACUGAGACACGGCCCAGACUCCUACGGGAGGCAGCAGUGGGGAAUAUUGGACAAUGGGCGAAAGCCUGAUCCAGCAAUGCCGCGUGAGUGAUGAAGGCCUUAGGGUUGUAAAGCUCUUUUACCCGAGAUGAUAAUGACAGUACCGGGAGAAUAAGCUCCGGCUAACUCCGUG
This 433-nucleotide ribosomal RNA is filed under the name uncultured bacterium. RNAcentral's name for it is "partial 16S ribosomal RNA". It matches the Rfam family "Bacterial small subunit ribosomal RNA", at positions 29 to 507 of the family's 1533-position model. The record is from RNAcentral.